CCAGUGUGGGACCCAAGGACGGGAUGCCGAAGACCACACGACCAGGAUGGAGACUGCCUCUAGCCACCCCCCACCAGAAGACUUUGCCAAGCCCUGGUAAGGAGGGCUUUGUAGAAUGGCAGGCUCCCCAAAUAAAAACAAACACGAGGUUCUGUGCGUGCUGGAGCUGGCUAGUCAUGCUUCAGUGGUGAUGGAGUGUCAGAGUUGCAAAAAUAAAAGCAGGAGUGCUUACGGCAUUGCUUUUUAUACCCACUGCCCUCGGAGUGAUGUUUCCAUCAAGAAAAAGGAUGCUUAUGAAAGAGAGCCCUAACUGCAAUCCUACCCACUUAAGACUGGUCGAUUUUUAAGAAACACGUAAGAAUGAGUUAGAUAUGAACAAUCGACAGCACAAACAAAUGAACAGAAUUUGAUGAGAACGUCUGGCCUGCCAUCAACAUAUGCAGAAUUCUCAAAGAUUUGAAGCUGGAAACAAGACAUAUGGCCCUUAUUUGAAUUCACUGAGGACUAUGGGAAGACUCCCCACCCCAACCCAGCUGUAUUUUACAAUCAACUUCUGAAAAAGCCAGAAAAAUCCUUCAGAAAUAUAGUUUGAGUUGUGGCUCAUGACCCCAUUUGGCUAGCUCUUGGCAUUAAAGAAUAUGUUUCAAAGUUGUCAAAGCA
Long non-coding RNA from Herpailurus yagouaroundi (jaguarundi), 660 nucleotides. RefSeq lists it as uncharacterized. The record is from RefSeq and is a predicted model, not a curated record. NCBI's taxonomy places the organism in Eukaryota, Metazoa, Chordata, Mammalia, Carnivora, Felidae. The transcript is spliced from 4 exons.